RNAcentral lists this ribosomal RNA (462 nucleotides) under uncultured bacterium. RNAcentral's name for it is "partial 16S ribosomal RNA". It matches the Rfam family "Bacterial small subunit ribosomal RNA", at positions 29 to 507 of the family's 1533-position model. The record is from RNAcentral.
AUGCACGCUGCCAGACUGCUUCACCCCUUCCAGUCUUUGGCGAAGCUGUGCUUGCACAGCCUAUCCACGGCGGACGGGUGAGUAACGCGUACGGAACUUGCCCUGCAGUCAGGGAUAACAGACGGAAACGACUGAUAAGACCUGGUAAAGUCAGGCGGACUCAUGUCCAGCCUGAUGAAAAGAGAUGCUGCAGGAGAGCCUUGCGUCCUAUCAGCUUGUUGGUGGGGUAACUGCCCACCAAGGCGAUGAUAGGUAGCCGGCCUGAGAGGGUGGACGGCCACAAGGGGACUGAGAUACGGCCGUUACUCCUACGGGAGGCAGCAGUGGGGAAUAGUGGACAAGGGGGGCAACCCUGAUCCAGCAAUUCUGUGUGCACGAAGAAGGUUUUCGGAGUGUAAAGUGCUUUCAGAAGGGAAGAAAAAAAUGACGGUACCUGCAGAAGAAGCGACGGCUAAAUACGUG